This 385-nucleotide unclassified non-coding RNA is filed under the name soil metagenome. RNAcentral describes it as "partial contains 5.8S ribosomal RNA, internal transcribed spacer 2, and large subunit ribosomal RNA". The stretch from base 1 to 122 matches the Rfam family "5.8S ribosomal RNA", at positions 35 to 154 of the family's 154-position model. The record is from RNAcentral.
GAUGAAGAACGUAGCGAAAUGCGAUAAGUAAUGUGAAUUGCAGAAUUCAGUGAAUCAUCGAAUCUUUGAACGCACCUUGCACCCUUUGGACUGCUCCAAAGGGUAUGCUCGUUUGAGUGUCAUUGUACUCUCACACUCUCUGAUCCUUUGGAUUUGGAGCAGUGGACUUGGGUGCUUGCUGCUUCCUUGUGGCUCACCUGAAAUGCAUCAGUGCAUCUCUCGAUUGGACAUAGUACGGCGUGAUAAGUGUCUUCGCCGGCACCUCAUAUGAGGGUGGCCGAUCGGGAGCUCUGUGCUUUCAAACCGUCUUCGGACAACGCUGACAACUUGACCUCAAAUCGAGUAGGACUACCCGCUGAACUUAAGCAUAUCAAUAAGCGGAGGA